This 433-nucleotide ribosomal RNA is filed under the name uncultured bacterium. RNAcentral describes it as "partial 16S ribosomal RNA". It matches the Rfam family "Bacterial small subunit ribosomal RNA", at positions 29 to 507 of the family's 1533-position model. The record is from RNAcentral.
AACGAACGCUGGCGGCAUGCCUAACACAUGCAAGUCGAACGAGACCUUCGGGUCUAGUGGCGCACGGCUGCGUAACGCGUGGGAACCUGCCCUUAGGUUCCGAAUCACUCCCCGAAAGGGGUGCUAAUACCGGAUAAUCUCUUCGCACCAAAGAUUUAUCGCUUUUGGAUGGGCGCGCGUUGGAUUAGCUAGUUGGUAGGGUAAAAGCCUGCCAAGGCGACGAUCCAUAGCUGGUCUGAGAGGAUGAUAAGCCACACUGGGACUGAGACACGGCCCAGAAUCCUACGGAAGGCAGCAGUAGGGAGUAUUAGACAAUGGGCGAAAGCCUGAUCAAGCAAUGCCGCGUGAGAGAUGAAGGCCUUAGGGUUGUAAAGCUCUUUUACCCGGGAUGAUAAUGACAGUACCGGGAGAAUAAGCACCGGCUAACUCCGUG